ACCGGCGCGUCUAACCGUGCAGCGGUAAUUGGGCGCCUUGGGUGAGAAGUGGAUGACGCUCUAGUAAUGUCUGGGAAACUGCCCGAUGGAGGGGGAUAACUACUGGAAACGGUAGCUAAUACCGCAUAACGUCGCAAGACCAAAGAGGGGGACCUUCGGGCCUCUUGCCAUCGGAUGUGCCCAGAUGGGAUUAGCUAGUAGGUGGGGUAACGGCUCACCUAGGCGACGAUCCCUAGCUGGUCUGAGAGGAUGACCAGCCACACUGGAACUGAGACACGGUCCAGACUCCUACGGGAGGCAGCAGUGGGGAAUAUUGCACAAUGGGCGCAAGCCUGAUGCAGCCAUGCCGCGUGUAUGAAGAAGGCCUUCGGGUUGUAAAGUACUUUCAGCGAGGAGGAAGGUGUUGUGGUUAAUAACCGCAGCAAUUGACGUUACUCGCAGAAGAAGCACCGGCUAACUCCGUGCCAGCAGCCGCGGUAAUACGGAGGGUGCAAGCGUUAAUCGGAAUUACUGGGCGUAAAGCGCACGCAGGCGGUCUGUCAAGUCGGAUGUGAAAUCCCCGGGCUCACCUGGGAACUGCAUCCGAAACUGGCAGGCUAGAGUCUUGUAGAGGGGGGUAGAAUUCCAGGUGUAGCGGUGAAAUGCGUAGAGAUCUGGAGGA
Molecule: ribosomal RNA, 661 nt
Filed under: Citrobacter sp. HPC1295
Lineage: Bacteria; Pseudomonadati; Pseudomonadota; Gammaproteobacteria; Enterobacterales; Enterobacteriaceae
Description: bacterial SSU rRNA
Rfam family: Bacterial small subunit ribosomal RNA
Source: RNAcentral